Molecule: long non-coding RNA, 262 nt
Filed under: Phascolarctos cinereus (koala)
Lineage: Eukaryota; Metazoa; Chordata; Mammalia; Diprotodontia; Phascolarctidae
Description: lncRNA (ENSPCIG00000026445.2)
Source: RNAcentral
GGACAAGGAGACUGGAGUGGAGAGAUGAGGGUCUCUCCCUACUGGAGUCGGAGAGGAGGGCAGAGUCACCUACCUCCCAAGCAACAGAGGCUUUAAGAGGAUUUCCUCCUACUCUCCUCCUGCUCCCUGGUGCGUGCUUCUCGCCUUGUCUGAUGAAGAAUUCUCUGCCUAUACCUGAUAAACACUGAGGUUUAUCCAGAACCAGUGGCCACUUGAGUGGCCCAGGGCCAGCCUUCCCCGGGAAAGAACGUUCUCACCGUUG